CCUACGGGUGGCUGCAGUAAGGAAUAUUGGUCAAUGGACGCAAGUCUGAACCAGCCAUGCCGCGUGGAGGAUGAAUGCCCUCUGGGUUGUAAACUCCUUUUAUCUGGGAAGAAACCUAUACAUUCUUGUGUAGUUGACGGUACCAGAGGAAUAAGCACCGGCUAACUCCGUGCCAGCAGCCGCGGUAAUACGGAGGGUGCAAGCGUUAUCCGGAUUCACUGGGUUUAAAGGGUGCGUAGGUGGAUUGGUAAGUCAGUGGUGAAAUCCCCGAGCUU
RNAcentral lists this ribosomal RNA (275 nucleotides) under uncultured bacterium. Its description in RNAcentral is "partial 16S ribosomal RNA". It matches the Rfam family "Bacterial small subunit ribosomal RNA", at positions 338 to 610 of the family's 1533-position model. The record is from RNAcentral.